This 119-nucleotide transfer RNA is filed under the name Myoviridae sp. ctQQg4. Its description in RNAcentral is "tRNA-OTHER". It matches the Rfam family "transfer-messenger RNA", at positions 252 to 374 of the family's 374-position model. From Rfam's summary of the family: Bacterial tmRNA, also known as 10Sa RNA or SsrA, is named for its dual tRNA and mRNA-like properties. Its role is to liberate the mRNA from a stalled ribosome. The record is from RNAcentral. Lineage: Duplodnaviria; Heunggongvirae; Uroviricota; Caudoviricetes.
GGGGUUGUGUAGCUUGUCUGUGAGCGAUAGCAACCCGAGAUCUCAAUCAUAGACUGUGCUCGGAGAAGUCUAUAUGGCAACACUCUUGGACAGGGGUUCGAUUCCCCUCAUCUCCACCA